UACGUAGGGGGCAAGCGUUGUCCGGAUUUAUUGGGCGUAAAGCGCGUGUAGGCGGCUAGGUAGGUCCGUUGUGAAAACUCGAGGCUCAACCUCGAGACGCCGGUGGAAACCAUCUAGCUAGAGUCCGGAAGAGGAGAGUGGAAUUCCCGGUGUAGCGGUGAAAUGCGCAGAUAUCGGGAAGAACACCCGUGGCGAAGGCGGUUGCCUGGGGCUUUGCUGACGCUGAGGCGCGAAAGCGUGGGGAGCGAUCCGG
This 253-nucleotide ribosomal RNA is filed under the name uncultured bacterium. RNAcentral's name for it is "partial 16S ribosomal RNA". It matches the Rfam family "Bacterial small subunit ribosomal RNA", at positions 524 to 776 of the family's 1533-position model. The record is from RNAcentral.